GAGCGUGUUACUGGCCCGCCUCCCCAGAGCUAUUAACACCAGCGGGCAGUAGACUGGCAUCUAAAGCAUCGUCCUCUACUGCGUGUGUCUGUCCACUCGUACAGGUACUGAAGAAGUACCCCCGUCUCUGGUGCAUGACGAAGCCCCCAAGCCGUCGGCCCAAACUCUACAUUGUGAACCUGCAGUGGACCCCGAAGGAUGACUGGGCUGCCCUGAAGCUUCAUGGGAAAUGUGAUGAUGUAAUGCGGCUCCUCAUGGACGAACUGGGCCUGGAGAUCCCUGUCUACAACCGGUGAGUGGGUGCAGCAUGGCCCCAUUUCUGCCCCUCUGUGUGAUGGGCCGUGUCUGUCUGCUGUGAGCCUCAGAGGAAC
RNAcentral lists this long non-coding RNA (371 nucleotides) under Rattus norvegicus (Norway rat). Its description in RNAcentral is "long non-coding RNA NONRATT006366". The record is from RNAcentral. Lineage: Eukaryota; Metazoa; Chordata; Mammalia; Rodentia; Muridae.